This 1583-nucleotide unclassified non-coding RNA is filed under the name Hevea brasiliensis (rubber tree). The record is from RNAcentral. Lineage: Eukaryota; Viridiplantae; Streptophyta; Magnoliopsida; Malpighiales; Euphorbiaceae.
AUUUUAUUAGCAUAGAAGAGUCAAUCGAUUAGUUGCAUUACAAGAUUUUAAUUCCAUCUUCAGCCCCUCUUCCAAAUGACAUGUAAAAUCAGAACAGGGAAAGAUAUUGUUCACAAACACAACUAAAGUUGGUAAAGUUAAGAAAAGAUUAUUUUUCAGUAAAAUAAAAUAAAAAUAGAGAGAAGAUAUAUAGAUGAAAUUGAGGACAAUUUAUAAAGGAUCAUCACUUAUCCAUCUUUUGAACAUAACAAAACAUUCUUCAGGCUUGUCCAUACAAGCUGUGUGUCCUGCUCCCUUCACUGUUGCAUAAGUCAUUUUGUUGGAGUAAGAUCUCGUAUAGCCAGCAACUUGAUUGUUUACGUUCCAUUGGCGCCAAUCAUCAUCAAUAGAGUAGUUUAGAGACUUUAUCCAUGUUUGUGUAUCUUGAAAAGGUACCAUAUAAUCAUGAUCUCCACUGUAUAUAAGUGAUCGAUAGCCUUUAGUGCUUAAAUUUGCAUGAUAUGGUACAACAUUAUGUACCGUCAAAGUGUAGUUAUGAUGAGAGCCUUCACUUAUAUCUCUUCUACAUUUUAUCCAACUUUCUAUAAUCCCCUUCCUAACAUGAAGAGCUUCUUGGACUUGAGGGUCAUUAGCCCAAUACCUCAAAUGCUUGCGCCAAUCAGAAUCACACUUAUCUUCACGUUGCAAGGAGAUGAGUUUAUCACCAAGUAAUCUUCUUUCACUAGUCAUUUGAUACACGUCUUUAGGAUCAUCAUCAUUUGUGCAAAAGGGCUUUAAUACGUGUUCCACAUUAAUGUUUUUUACAAGCUGUUUGAAAUUUCGAAAGUCAUUUGCACAUCCUGUAUUUUUGGGAUUAAUGUUUGUGUAUUCUCCUCUACAAUUCUUCUCUAAUGACUUAUAAAGUUCAUCAGAUAUGAGUCCCAUGCCAUGGCAAAAAACUAUAUGGUACUUUUCAUCUUGAGGACUAAUUGUUACAGCAUUGCCAAUUAAAUAUCCCUGAAGAUUAACUAAUGGCUCUUUGCCUGCUAUAUUUCCAUUUGAUAUCAACUGAGUUAUAAUUGGAAUAAUCAUGCCAGAAUAUGAAUUUCCAGAAACAUAAAAUGGAUUUGAGAUGAAUUGUGGAUGAUCAUUGAGCCACUUUCUUAAGAAUUCAUAGACAUAUUCACAUGCUUGCACAUCAGUAUACUUAUAUGCAGCUGAGUUUGUUGCAUAUGAGAAUCCAGUGUUUACUGGUUGAUCCAAAAAUAUUACAUUUGCUAUUUUUGUCCAUGCAUGUGGAUUUAGUUCAAACGAUGGCAUACUCCCAUUGUAGACUUGUUCCACAAAACGGAUUGGUCCUAUCUCAUCAACAAUGGCAAUGACAGAAGAGCAACCUGGUCCACCAGAUAGCCAAACCAAAAGAGGAUCAGUAGUAGGCUCUGAUUCUGACUCCAAAAAAUAGUAGAAAAGUUGCACCGCCUCAUCUUUACCAACUCCAACAUACCCGGUCUCUAGAGGAAACGGGAGGCGGCCCUGCCAACCGGGAAGAUACUCAACAGUAGAAUGCGAAACAGCUUGUUGUUGUUGAAGAAGAAGAAGAAGAA